CCUACGGGAGGCAGCAGUGGGGAAUUUUGGACAAUGGGCGCAAGCCUGAUCCAGCUAUUCCGCGUGUGGGAAGACGGCCUUCGGGUUGUAAACCACUUUUGUAGAGAACGAAAAGUCCAUUGAUAAUACCGAUAGACGAUGACGGUACCCUAAGAAUAAGCACCGUCUUACUACGUGCCAGCAGCCGCGGUAAUACGUAGGGUUCGAGCGUUUAUCGGAAUUACUGGGGGUAAAGGGUGUGCAGGUGGUUUUGCAAGAUGGAUGUGAAAGCCCCGGGGUUAACCCGGGAAAGGCAUACAUGACUGGAAGACUAGAGGUCGUGAGAGGGAGGUGGAAUUCCCAGUGUAGCAGUGAAAUGCGUAGAUAUUGGGAAGAACACCGAUGGCGAAGGCAGCACCCUGGGACGAAACUGACGCUCAUGCACGAAAGCGUGGGGAGCAAACAGGAUUAGAUACCCUAGUAGUC
This 465-nucleotide ribosomal RNA is filed under the name uncultured bacterium. RNAcentral describes it as "partial 16S ribosomal RNA". It matches the Rfam family "Bacterial small subunit ribosomal RNA", at positions 338 to 795 of the family's 1533-position model. The record is from RNAcentral.